Molecule: ribosomal RNA, 736 nt
Filed under: uncultured Streptococcus sp.
Lineage: Bacteria; Bacillati; Bacillota; Bacilli; Lactobacillales; Streptococcaceae
Description: bacterial SSU rRNA
Rfam family: Bacterial small subunit ribosomal RNA (bases 329-736)
Source: RNAcentral
CCGGGUUACCGGGUUACGGGUUUACGGUUUAACGGUUUAACGGUUUAACGGUUUACGGGGUUUACGGGGUUAACGGGGUUAAACCGGGGUUAACCGGUAACCGUAACCCGUAAACCGGUAACCGGUAACCGGUAACGUAACGUAACGUAACGUAACCGGUACCCGUACCGGUACGGUAACGGGUACGGGUACGGUACCGGUACCGACCGUAACCGUACGGGUACGGUACGGUACGGUAACGAACCGGACCCGACCGUACCGUACCGUACCGGGUACGGGUACGACGACGACGGUAACGGGUAACGGUACGUUACGGUACGUAACGUACGGGGUAACCGGUACGUACCGACGACGAACGACCGCGUNCGGUAGUGAAGAAGGUUUUCGGAUCGUAAAGCUCUGUUGUAAGAGAAGAACGGGUGUGAGAGUGGAAAGUUCACACUGUGACGGUAUCUUACCAGAAAGGGACGGCUAACUACGUGCCAGCAGCCGCGGUAAUACGUAGGUCCCGAGCGUUGUCCGGAUUUAUUGGGCGUAAAGCGAGCGCAGGCGGUUAGAUAAGUCUGAAGUUAAAGGCUGUGGCUUAACCAUAGUAUGCUUUGGAAACUGUUUAACUUGAGUGCAGAAGGGGAGAGUGGAAUUCCAUGUGUAGCGGUGNAAAUGCGUAGAUAUAUGGAGGAACACCGGUGGCGAAAGCGGCUCUCUGGUCUGUAACUGACGCUGGUCGACGCGGCCG